RNAcentral lists this ribosomal RNA (966 nucleotides) under Inocybe sp. RV7/4. RNAcentral's name for it is "eukaryotic LSU rRNA". It matches the Rfam family "Eukaryotic large subunit ribosomal RNA", at positions 29 to 974 of the family's 3401-position model. Lineage: Eukaryota; Fungi; Basidiomycota; Agaricomycetes; Agaricales; Inocybaceae. The record is from RNAcentral.
UGAACUUAAGCAUAUCAAUAAGCGGAGGAAAAGAAACUAACAAGGAUUCCCCUAGUAACUGCGAGUGAAGCGGGAAAAGCUCAAAUUUAAAAUCUGAUGGUCUUUGACCGUCCGAGUUGUAAUCUAGAGAAGUGAUACCCGCGCUGGACCAUGUGCAAGUCUCCUGGAAUGGAGCAUCACAGAGGGUGAGAAUCCCGUCUUUGACAUGGACUACCAGGGCUUUGUGGUGAGCUCUCAAAGAGUCGAGUUGUUUGGGAAUGCAGCUCAAAAUGGGUGGUAAAUGCCAUCUAAAGCUAAAUAUUGGCGAGAGACCGAUAGCGAACAAGUACCGUGAGGGAAAGAUGAAAAGAACUUUGGAAAGAGAGUUAAACAGUACGUGAAAUUGCUGAAAGGGAAACGCUUGAAGUCAGUCGCAUCGACUGGAAAUCAACCAUGCUUUUGCUUGGCAUACUUUCCAGCUGGUGGGUCAGCAUCAUUUCUGAUGGCUGGACAAAGGCUUUGGGAAUGUGGCAUCUUAGGAUGUGUUAUAGCCCUUGGUCGCAUACAGCUGUCGGGAUUGAGGAACUCAGCACGCCGCAAGGCCAGGUCUUUUNAAGAUCAUGUUCGUGCUUGGGAUGCUGGCAUAAUGGCUUUAAUCGACCCGUCUUGAAACACGGACCAAGGAGUCUAACAUGCCUGCGAGUGUUUGGGUGGAAAACCCAUGCGCGCAAUGAAAGUGAAAUAGGUUGAGAUCCCUGUCGUGGGGAGCAUCGACGCCUGGACCAGACCUUUUGUGACGGAUCCACGGUAGAGCAUGCAUGUUGGGACCCGAAAGAUGGUGAACUAUGCCUGAAUAGGGUGAAGCCAGAGGAAACUCUGGUGGAGGCUCGUAGCGAUUCUGACGUGCAAAUCGAUCGUCAAAUUUGGGUAUAGGGGCGAAAGACUAAUCGAACCAUCUAGUAGCUGGUUCCUGCCGAAGUUUCCCUC